CAGGCCCCACGGCUGCUUAGAUUCAAACAACUACGGCCAGAGUCCGUCUUUCUCAGUGGGAAGCAGUGGUUCUUUCUCUUUGCUUGAUUUCCCUAAUGUAUAUUGGGUCGUUUAUACUCAAAAUUGUUUCAAUUCAGAGCUUGUGGGCUAAACAUGGGGACCGUCAGAUAGAUAUAUCAUUUCAUGGCUUAAAGAGUGGCUUUAAAACCUCAUCAACUGGAUGGUUUCAGGUGUUUACAAUAAUUCAGUUUGGAGAAUGUAUAUUAUGUUCUAUAUCUAAGAAAGUCACCGCAAUUCCGCUUCUGGUCUACUGCCGAAAUUUAAAGCAAGUAAUAGCAGCCCGUCGUUUACUUCUAUCGAGAAAUCAGGACAUAUUGAUUCAAGAGGGCAUCAUGGAGGAUCAUAUCUUCUAUUGACCAUAAGAAAGAGAGCCGUGAG
Helianthus annuus (common sunflower) is the source of this 438-nucleotide long non-coding RNA. RefSeq lists it as uncharacterized. Lineage: Eukaryota; Viridiplantae; Streptophyta; Magnoliopsida; Asterales; Asteraceae. The transcript is spliced from 3 exons. The record is from RefSeq and is a predicted model, not a curated record.